AGAGUUUGAUCCUGGCUCAGAUUGAACGCUGGCGGCAGGCCUAACACAUGCAAGUCGAGCGGCAGCACGGGUACUUGUACCUGGUGGCGAGCGGCGGACGGGUGAGUAAUGCCUAGGAAUCUGCCUGGUAGUGGGGGAUAACGCUCGGAAACGGACGCUAAUACCGCAUACGUCCUACGGGAGAAAGCAGGGGACCUUCGGGCCUUGCGCUAUCAGAUGAGCCUAGGUCGGAUUAGCUAGUUGGUGAGGUAAUGGCUCACCAAGGCGACGAUCCGUAACUGGUCUGAGAGGAUGAUCAGUCACACUGGAACUGAGACACGGUCCAGACUCCUACGGGAGGCAGCAGUGGGGAAUAUUGGACAAUGGGCGAAAGCCUGAUCCAGCCAUGCCGCGUGUGUGAAGAAGGUCUUCGGAUUGUAAAGCACUUUAAGUUGGGAGGAAGGGCAGUUACCUAAUACGUAUCUGUUUGACGUACCG
RNAcentral lists this ribosomal RNA (477 nucleotides) under Pseudomonas sp. RHF96. RNAcentral's name for it is "bacterial SSU rRNA". It matches the Rfam family "Bacterial small subunit ribosomal RNA", at positions 8 to 480 of the family's 1533-position model. Lineage: Bacteria; Pseudomonadati; Pseudomonadota; Gammaproteobacteria; Pseudomonadales; Pseudomonadaceae. The record is from RNAcentral.